UACGAAGGGGGCUAGCGUUGCUCGGAAUCACUGGGCGUAAAGCGCACGUAGGCGGCUUUUUAAGUCAGGGGUGAAAUCCUGGAGCUCAACUCCAGAACUGCCUUUGAUACUGGGAAGCUCGAGUCCGGGAGAGGUGAGUGGAACUCCGAGUGUAGAGGUGAAAUUCGUAGAUAUUCGGAAGAACACCAGUGGCGAAGGCGGCUCACUGGCCCGGUACUGACGCUGAGGCGCGAAAGCGUGGGGAGCAAACAGG
RNAcentral lists this ribosomal RNA (253 nucleotides) under uncultured bacterium. RNAcentral's name for it is "partial 16S ribosomal RNA". It matches the Rfam family "Bacterial small subunit ribosomal RNA", at positions 524 to 776 of the family's 1533-position model. The record is from RNAcentral.